CUAUAAGUGGCAAAUUUGCCAUUAAAUACGUUAUUUUAAAAGCAAAGUAAUAUAAAUUCAAAGCUCACCACUUCCUAAUGGUUGCAGUGACUUCCUGUUAGCUGUUUCUAUAUGGUGGAAAUGCUAUCCGACUGUGUGUCGCUGCCUCAGUCAGGGACCCAUGAGAAACAGGAUCCUUGGGACCAAGGAUAAACACCUCUUGGGGGAUUGAGACGGCCAAGCCAGCUCUCAGUCUUGUGGGUUAGCAGUGGUUCUAGAAAAUUAGGAGCUUAAAGGAAAACUAGCCUCCAAGGCCAAGAGGCGGGAGGCUGGGAGGUGAGCUCAGCCCCCUGGGACUCUGUGGUCAGCAGAAGGCCAGCUCAACCCCAGACGAGGCAGGGUCUGUGCUAUUCUGAAAAUCAUAUUAUUAGAGAUUUUACCAGACGAUAAGGGCAACUCCAGUGGCAAGAGGCCAACCCAUUUAGAAUAGUCACUGAGGUGACCCAGUUCCCUGUACCUGAUGAGCAUGGUAAACCGCACACCCCAGGUGGAGACCUGCGAUGGCGAUGAGACUCGGGACCUGUCGAGCAGCCUGAUGAGGAAGAUCGCAGGUGCCCCUGAAACCCACCUCUCCUCGUGGCCACAGCAGGAGCCUAGCUCCUGCCCAUCAGCAGGUGCCAGAGAAGUUGGGCACCCGUGUCCUUUGCUUGAGCCAGCCUGACAGCUCUGCGACUCCGUUCUGGCCCAAGCAGAAGCCCCCAGGAAAGUUUCACCUGUGCUUAAAUCCUCUCUGGGCCCCGUGUUCACUACUUCAGCUCUGGAUCCAGGAACUAACUUUGUGGUGCCUCUUCCCGACUCCAUGUUUGGUAAUGUCCUCUAGGUGGGUAGCAGGACAUCACACCCAUAGGAGCAUCUGCACAUGAAUACUGGUGAACUCUGUCACUCAGGGCUCUCCCCCUCCCCACCCUGGAAGAACCAGGCUCUGUUGGGAGGCAGAUCUCAGCACAUAGCCCCAGGUUUCUACAGAACUGUUGAAAAGGAAACAGGUGCUUAAGUUGGUCUCUAAUCGCUGCUUAUAAAUACCACAGCAACAAGAGAUUUCAAGAACUGUUAGCCCCUGGGCAGUAUCUUGUCCUUUUUUGUGACUGUGAAUGUUAUCAUUGUCUUCUUGAACUCUUUCUGGGUUUCUCCCUGAUGUGGCUGGGAUAUGGUUCAAGUGUCCCUUGUGUUCACGUGCUGGGAACCUGGACCCCAGACUGGGCAUGCUGAGACUGGUUGGACCUUUAAGAGGACGUGUGUAGGAGGAGGGGAUUGGACUGCCCAGGGCGGGAGGGAUCAAUGCAGUUCUCUGGGAACCCUGGCCAGUUCCCUUGACAGUGGUGGUUACACCAAGACCAAGCUUGGCCUUGGCUGGAUUCCUGACUCACCAUGUGAUCGCUCCCACUUGGACACACUCCCAUUGGGAUGCCAUCCACCAUGUUGGCCUGAGCCAAGCAGAUGCCAACGCCAUGCUCUUGGACCUCAGGAACUGUGAGUUAAAAAAACAACAACCCUCCUUUCUUUAUAAAGUACCAUCUCAGGUAUUUUGAUAGCAAUAGAAAGUGUACUUUCUAAUCCAAACCCGGGGUUCUGUGUUAGUCAGCUUUUGGUCACUGUAACAAAACACCCGAGAAAAUCAACUCAGAGGAGGAAAGGUUUAUUUUGGCUCAUGGUUUCAGGGUUAGCUCAUGGUUGGUUGAUCCCGUGGUUUCUGGGCCUGUGGUGAGACAGAGCAUUAGGAUGGGAAGGGUGUCACAGAGGAGACCUGCUCAGCUCACAGCAGCUGGAAGCAGAGAGAGAGGGGAAGGGGCUGGGGAUAAGAUAUGGUCACCAGGAGCUUGCUCCCAAGGACCUACUCCUUCAACUAGGUCCCAUCUUCCACAGGCCACCUCCUAAUUGUCCAUUCAGUUAUGACCCCAUCAAUGGGUUAAUCCACUGGCAAGGUCUGAGCCUUCCUGCUCCAAUCGCUACCCAGAAGUAACCCCUCUGGACAGUGCUGCACUUGGGACCAAGCCUUUAGCACAUGAGCUUUGGGGGACAUUCUAGACCCAAACCUCUUAUGUGCCACAGUCCCCUAUGUUCUCUUUUACAUGCAUGGUAUAAAAUGCCUUGCAUUCUAAAAGAAAUCAACCAUAUGAAAAUCAAGUCAUUGAAAUUUUGCAAUACGACAUGCUAUUCACACGUGUGCUUCCUUAUUAGCAUGUUAAUCCAAUCUAGCUGAGGGACCUUUAACUACCAUACUUUCAAAUUAGAGGUGGAUGUGGGUGACGUUUCAAGAUCCCAGCCACAGUUGUGAUGUGACAUGAACCCAGCCACGAAUUCUACUGGUGACAGAUUCAUUUACUGAAAAGGCAAACACAGCUCGUUGCCCACAGUCUUAAUGGAAGGAAAUGCUGCAUUUCAGUGAGAGAUUAGGGAGAAUAAACAGGUACUUUGUUCCAUCCAAGUUCACACGUCACCCCAAAGUCUGCUUGUGGACUCUGAGGAUCCCCCAGGGGGCUGGGUUAAAGUCCCUGCACCCACGUCUUUGCAGAAUCUCAGAAGUGCUCCUGAGCAUGUGCGGGUUCUGGGAAGUUUGCACGCCCCCUCCCCAUGGCGCCCUUUGGCAAGCAGAAGGACAAACUGGGUUGGCACUGGAAGCCUUGCUCCCAAAAGAGAACACUCAGGAGUCCCCAUAGUCAGGUGCCAUCUAUUUCUCUGCAUGGGGUGGACUUGGCUGGCACUCACCCAAGGUCCCUGUCCACUCACAGGUGCCAGGGCGGAAGUGAUGAUGGCCACUUCCAGGAUGUGCGUUGAGAAGGCCUUCAGACUACCGGGUUUCACCUCCCCAACCUGGUAGCCCUGAAGUAACACCAUGAAAGGUGGCUUCACAAAAGAGUGGGACCUCUGAGCACCUGGACCCCUGAAUGGCUCUGCAGAGCCUCUGCUCCAGGUGGAGGAGGAAGAGGGACGUCCUGGAUCGUGGAGUCUGGGCACAGCACUGAGCCUGUGCAGCCAGCUGCUCCCUUCCUGACCAGGGCAGCAGGAUCCUGUGCUUUCCUUUCUCUUCCAUGCUGGCCACAGAGCAGACUGUGUCCCCUGCAGAAGAAGGCCUGCAGAUUGUGGGUGGGGAGGGGAGGAGUCCACUACAGGCCUGGAGGCCCCCUUUGGCUGAGGUCACAUUCUUCAAUCUGUGGGCAGUCAGGCUUGCGGUUUGAUCUCUGUCUCCUGGUUCCUUGUUCUCUGUUUGUCCUGAAGGCAACAGAAGAAAGCACAGGUGCAUUAUUUGUGCUCCCUGCCCUCAGGAUAUUUUCUCCACCUUCAUCUCCACCCCUAUCAGAUACUGAGCUCUUGGAAGCAAAGGUAUUUUGAAUUUAUCUCAACCUUCCUGUGAUUUUGACAUGGCCUGGCAUUUAAAGUCUGAGGAUAUCAUAGAGCUGAUCAGACUGCGAUGGUCACCGGGGCUUGGAGGUAAUUCUGUGCGUGUCCCUCAGAGCAUGAUCGUGCUGCUGAGGACACACAGAGUGGAAGAGGCCUUGGGGCCCCUCAGCACAGAGACUGUGCACUUGUGACAUUUGCAGAUGUCCACCUUUUCUCUCCAAAGCCGAGAGGAUUCUUGGAGUCACUUUUUGUCAUCUCUGCUGGGACGCCGGAGGAGAGAAUGCUGCUCUGGGAGCCAUCUGCUCCCUCUGGAAGAGAUUCGAUUGUGCAAGAGUUCAUCCCGGUCUGAGCUGAGAUCUGCCUGGGAGCAAGUUCCCUCGCUGUCCUUCGGUCCUGGCUCUGCCUUUGGGGACCACAGGGAUCACGUCCAAUCUCAGCCUGCACAUGGCUCCUUACAUCGGCAAGUCAGCCUGUCACCCCAGCUGAGCUCUCCCUUGUCCCCGAGGAGUGGAGCGCCUGUCAGACCUUUAAGAUGGCUUUUUAUGGCAUAUCUGUUAGCAAGAGUUUAUUGAUUACUUAAAGUCCAAGGGAUACAGUGGGAGAAGGACCAUGUUGGGGCUCUGGCAUUCAAUCCUCCUGCACAUUCUUGGGGGGCCAACCCUGGGCCAGGCUCCGGGCCAGGUGAUGGGGAUGCGGGAAGGAACCGCAGGCUGCAGGCAGCCCCUGGCUUGAAGCUUCUUGAGGCCUGGUGGGGAAGGAACGUCUGCCUCUGUGUGCUGAGUUUAUGGCAGGUCCCAGUUGAGCCCAUUUCCCCAUUAGACAUGCACAGGAAACGGAGACCCCUCUGCUUGCCGUCUGCGCAGAGCUGGUGAUUGAGCCUGAGAGUGAUUUCAAGCUCUGUGGAGGAAGAAGAGGGAAAGCUCAAUGCCAAGUCUGAGAUGCAAUCCACUGACGAUGUGUCGCAGCCUGCCAGGCCACAGGAUGAGGCUCUGUCCCUGGAGACCCCACCAUUCAUCCACUUGGGGACGUCAGGAGAGAAAUAGCAAAUCUCAGUCCAGGCCAAAUCGGGUAUUGCCAGCAAGACAGAUAAACACUGUCUGGGGCAGUUGGAGAAGGGGAGCUGGCGGGCAGCUGGAAGAAUGGAAAGGCUUCUGCCGGGUCUGGCCUUGGUCAGGCCCUGGAAGACUUGGCGGGGCAGCGUUGGGGGCGAAGAGGCGCCGCCUGAACGUGAAUCGCCUGUGUACUUCAUAUGGUUGGCUGUGUGGGUAGAGCAGAAGCCCCUGCCUCUUGAAGCAGCACCAGAAGUUGAUUUAGGGAUGACUUACUCCACAAACACCUACCAGAGAGCAGAGGCCUGCCCUGUUCUAAACUCACAGCUUAGGGAAGGGGCCACGUGGAACAGAAUUCUCAGGGAGUCGAAGCAUGAGAUGGUGUUGCGAGCGUGCACCUGUACCGUUUUACACGGUCUCCAUGGGUGGCCCUUCCCUGCUGCACAGAUGAUCAGAUCCUGGCUCCUGCUCUCUACACCUCACCCCACCCCCACCCCAUGACUUUCUCAAGACUCCUUCCCUGGGACCACCCCGGCUCUCCCUGCAUAAUUAACUUCUCAUCUCAACCAGCCAAUCCCGUUAGGUGAGAACCCUGCUAUGGUGUUAGAGAAAACAAAGAAGUCCUCCCGGGACACUACCUCCUCCUUGGCUGUGGGGUCCAGCUUCCCUGCUCCGGCUCCCGCCAGCCCUUCUUGAGUGAGUGGCACGUGGCCCCUGUGUCUACCCGCAGGGCUCCUGUGGUUCCCCCAUUUCCAUCUGUCUUCAGUCGCUGCCAUUCCUCUGAGCCUUGCCUGACAAGGGCAGCAGUGACCUCCACACAAGCACAUCCAAUAAUAACGUCUCCGUCUUCGUGAUGGUGCAGGUCCCAGCAGCUGUGGGCCCGGUGGGACGCUCCUCUCUGGAACGUCUUUCUUCUGUUUCCAAGUUUCCUGGUUUCCCCUCCCUCACUUGUCACAAGCCGUCUGUGGGCUGUGUGUGGACCAUGUUGCGCAUAGUAGGUAGCCUAAUGAGGGGAUAAGUCUGGCACUGGGAGCCUCCCGUGGCACCCCCACAGGGAUUGAUCACCUGAUACAGGUGAACUUCCCCCCAAGCUCUGCCAGAGAUCCCACACAGCACCUGAGAUGGGUGUGACCUGCCAAGAUGUCAGUCAACCGGCUGACUGCGACACCAAGAAGCCAGACUCCUGCCUUUGAUGCCCCCCACCCCCCGCACACACACACAUAUCAAUAAAGCAAGUGCAAGCUCCAUUUUGCCAGAGUCCAGAAGCUCCAUCCUUCUGAUCAGCUUGCCCCUCCUGCCCCCACUUUUAAAACUACUUUCUGUGUCCUGUGGUUUCUUCGUCAUUCUAUUUUUCUUAGCUUUUAUUUCUCAGCCAGUCCAUUCCGCCGAGGGGAGACCCAUUUCCAUCACCUGCGCAGGACACGGGCAAGACUCACUCUGGGAUUCUUUCGCCCUCCUCGAAGGGCUCUGCUUCUGCUGACUUCCAGGGGCCUGGAGUUCUCUGGGGCUCAGUCCUAGCCCCCUCUCUUUCCAACACUCUCCUGGUGAGUCCGUCCCGUGCUGUGACGUUGCAGCCCCUCUCGGUGCGCAGAGCUCCUGUCUCCUAGGCGCGUGCCUCCGCAGGGCAAAUGGCGCUGCACAUGGAGCCCAGUGACGCCUCCCAUCUCACAAACCCCAAAGGGAACUCUGAUUCCCACUGGCACCUCCAGGCCACUCUUCCUCCACCCUUCUCCAGGCAGCUGCCCACCGCCCUCCAGCAGCCAGAGCCCCAAACCCAGGGUCAUUUUUAAAGCUUCUUGUCCCUCCCGCCCUCUCACAGCCAAGCCUUCAACUCCACCUCAAAGCCGGUCCUCAGCAACCAAUUACCUCCAUUCUUGCUCUAGCUCUUGCUCAAGCCCUCCCUUCUGGUGGCUGCAGCAGUCCCCUAACGGUUCUAUGUCCCCUCUUGUCCCCUCUAUCAUGGCAUCUCCACUCAGUAUCUGGAAUGAUCUUUUAAAAAUGAAAAUCAGAUCUCAUCUCCCCCCCGCCCCCGCCCCCAACUUAUGACCUCCCACCGCUUAGGAAUGUAUUGCAAGCCCUGUUUCUGGCUGUGGCCCAAGUGUGGCUUCUUCAGGGCCCUGUCACACACUCUUUCUCCCCCUUCCCUUCAGUGCACCUGAGAAUGGUCUCCUUACUCUUCCUCCCUCCUGCUGGGCCAUCUCCUGCCCCUGGGCCUUGGUCUAGUCUGUUCUUUGACCUGCAAGGCCAUGUGGCCGGCUCCUCCCCUUCCGCUCACUCGCCCAUUGCUGCAUUUUGAUUUUCUGCAUUCUGUGCAUACUACGGCUCACCCUCCACUCUCUUCUUUGGCUGUUUGUCUGUCCACCUGGCCCUCUCCAGUGGCAUACGGCUUCUGGGACAGCCCUGAGCUUGCCAAGUUGCUCCAGCUAAUCCCUGGCCUCUUGGAGAGCCCUUGGUCCAUGGUGGGUGUUCAGAAGCUCCAUGGAGGAGGGAUGAGUGAAUGCUGUGCUGAGGCCCUCACAGGCAGGUCCCUGGGUGUUCCUCUGGUUGCCUGUCUGCAAACAAAGCCACAAUGGCUCUCCUGCCUGGACCCCAGUUCUGGAGGACAAUUCCUUCACCCUGGCUCAGGCCAUGGCCAGAGGAACAGUAGGAAAAGCAACUUGAGAAGUGGCUGCAGCUUCUUAGAGAAUGUGCCCAGCCAGCCCAUGGAGGAUGAGAGGCCCCCCGAGGAGAACUGCGGCCAGCAGACAGCAAUUACCAGCCGAUUCCCUCCUGGAUGAGCUCUUUGGGAACCUCCCUGGUCACCCCGUGGCUGGAGGGCUGCCUGAUGACAUUCUUAAGCCUGGGUCGGUGCUGCUUCACUUAGGCCCAGCAUUGGCCCUGUGUCGUUCUACCUGCCGACAGUGGUGACUCCCUGCUAGUUGGUUGGUCAGGGGCGGGCAGUGGGGCAGGUGGCUGAAGCCGGAGAACGGAACCCACAUGGGUCCCCACCACCAAGCAGGUGAAGGAAGCAAAGCUCAGAGGAGGAAGGUCACGGACCCAGGCUCAGCUGCCCAGGUCCAUGCUGCUCUGAGUGUCUGAGAUGUCGGGAGGUAAAAUGCCUCUAUAUUUCAAGGUCUUGGCACAGAAAUAGAAAGAAUGUAUAAUAUUCAUCUUUUGAAGCUAUUGAUUACAUGUGAAGGAAUAUUUUGGAUGCACUGGGUUUAACAAAUGUUUUAUUAAAAUGAGUGUCACCUGUG
Molecule: long non-coding RNA, 7663 nt
Organism: Marmota monax (woodchuck)
Lineage: Eukaryota; Metazoa; Chordata; Mammalia; Rodentia; Sciuridae
Exons: 2
Source: RefSeq, a predicted model, not a curated record